GUUUGGUCUCAGGGCCCUGCUCAUCAAGAAAUGUUUUUGAAAAAGGUGGAAGUAGGUAGAGGGACGUGCUCUGAACCAGCGUGACCAAAAGACAGUGUGUUCACGGUGCAUUCAUCUGAUUCAAUUCCUGCCAAAGGCUUUUGUUAUUUGAGAACAUUAUGACUAAACCAACAGAGAGGAAGGUGAGUAAGCAAACAGGAAAAACUGAUGACGAAUUGACAAUCCAUGUAUUUAUCCACCCAUUUAAAGUAACUUGCUGAGCGCCUACCUAGCUGCACAAGAAGCUCAGGGCCUGAAGAUGAACACGCAGAGGCUGUGUGCAGGGGCAUGAGCUUACAGCUGGAAUUAGAGAUAAAGGAAAAGGCACCUGAGCCCUGUGACAUGCGGGGGGUCAGGGGAGGUGGGACAUAUGUGGCCUCGUAGCCAGAGCCCCGCCUGUUUCCCAGGACAUUCUGAAUACGGGUGAGAGACUGCGCGUUGGACAAUCACUGUGAGUCCCGACCCUUACCAGAAAAGUCACUCGCAGCGUCGUUUCCAGGCAUAGGUUAGGAUCACCAUCCUCUCCCACGGGCCGUAUGUUGCAAUCCUGAUAUGAAAACGUCUUCUAUCUCCUUCAACUGCGGCAGGAGCACAGGCAACUCUGUAAAGUGUGAAUCUUAGAAAGGGU
Molecule: long non-coding RNA, 667 nt
Filed under: Homo sapiens (human)
Lineage: Eukaryota; Metazoa; Chordata; Mammalia; Primates; Hominidae
Description: HSALNT0253147
Source: RNAcentral